Molecule: long non-coding RNA, 640 nt
Organism: Hibiscus syriacus
Lineage: Eukaryota; Viridiplantae; Streptophyta; Magnoliopsida; Malvales; Malvaceae
Exons: 3
Source: RefSeq, a predicted model, not a curated record
UCUCCGAUUUUUGCUGAUAAAUCACACAACACUUUACAGGCAGGUUGGAAACUUUGGCCAUUUGCUCAUUUGAUCACCUAUGGUGUGAUACCUGUUGAACAAAGGCUUCUUUGGGUUGAUUGUGUGGAGCUUAUCUGGGUAACCAUACUGUCAACUUAUUCUAACGAGAAAUCAGAAGCACGUAUAACUGAAGAUGCAGACUCUAAUUCAUCGACCAAUACUCCUAAGGAAUAAACGAAUUGGUGAUCAUGCCUCAACUGUAAAGAGAGAUGAGAAGCGUCGGCAACUCAUGUUAGUAUUUGAGGUAUAAUAGCCCGGGGGGUGUUGGUGAGGCUUAGCUAAGAUAUACUGUAAAUCAUCCGAAACGCAUAUGUAUUCCAGGAAAGUAGACGAGCAAUACCUACUGAUUUACCAUACUAGUUUACAAAUUAGAGUUCAUAUGCAGGGAAUCUGGAGCCUAUGGGAUCAAUCAUGUCUAGGAAAAGGUAUACCAUACCUCCAAUCCCUUCAAACAGGGAAUACGGGCUAUCACCUCCGUGCAUCUCUCCCUUGGAUAUAAGCUUGUGAGCUUGAUCAAGCAAAAAGCUUGCAAAUGCUUUUGCCCUAUAUAAGAACUUUACAUUGCCUGUUUUUCGGUAAA